AAAAAGGGUGUCACAGAACUCACCUAUCAACAUUCAACCAUGAAAACAGAGAAGAACCAACGCCAAUACUCCCUUUUAGAAUAAUCUAUAGUGGAGAAGGGACAAGAAUUCGGCAACACAGAGAAGAAGGAGGAGAAAGGAGAUUCGACAGAGGGGACUAAAGAAGUAUUCGGUGAAAACAAAACAAGAGAAAAAAAAGAAUAAAAGGGAAAAGCAGGAAAAUAAAAGAGCAAACCCGAGAGGUACCCGAAGUCUUUAGCAAAAUUUGACAUAAGCAAAAUAUGAAAGAAAAACUGACCAAAGUCGAAGCAAUAGGAGAGAAAAACAACUCCAAAACCGAUUCCCUCAAUGCCUAAAGACCAUAUUCGACACAAGCAUACCCCCAUACGACACAACUCCCC
Molecule: long non-coding RNA, 401 nt
Filed under: Gossypium raimondii (Peruvian cotton)
Lineage: Eukaryota; Viridiplantae; Streptophyta; Magnoliopsida; Malvales; Malvaceae
Description: long non-coding RNA (GRAI_LNC002964)
Source: RNAcentral